GUCGCUGUCGUCUGCGCUCGGUGCUCGAUUCCCUUGCCGGCCAUAAAGAACGAUGUCUCAGUGUGGAACUUGAGGGUACACCGUUGUUUGAGGGCGAGCAGGUGGUGGUAGACGGCAUCAUGCUCCGUGGCGCUGCAGUAGCUGAGUGUGGAGGUGACAAGAUCCUCGAGUCGGCUGCGAAAGAGAUCCCUGAGACCCGAGGAGACGAGCCUCUGGAGUGUCUCGAUCUCGUCCUCGCGAGCCUUAAUGAGAAUGUCGUGCAGCUCCGUGAGGUAGCGCUCGUGCGCCUCAGCAAUUCUGCUCGUGAGGCCGUCC
RNAcentral lists this long non-coding RNA (315 nucleotides) under Selaginella moellendorffii. RNAcentral describes it as "long non-coding RNA (SMOE_LNC002239)". Lineage: Eukaryota; Viridiplantae; Streptophyta; Lycopodiopsida; Selaginellales; Selaginellaceae. The record is from RNAcentral.